Long non-coding RNA from Marmota monax (woodchuck), 754 nucleotides. RefSeq lists it as uncharacterized. The record is from RefSeq and is a predicted model, not a curated record. Lineage: Eukaryota; Metazoa; Chordata; Mammalia; Rodentia; Sciuridae. The transcript is spliced from 3 exons.
CAUUCCCACUAGCAGGAUAUGAGAAUUCCUUUUGAUCCACACCCAUACAUUUGAUGUUAACGUUUUUUAUUUAAGCCAUUCUCAUGGGAUGGAAUACAGAUGAGAUGCAUUCUUUAUAGUGAAGUGAUUGAUGAUGUGUCCUUGUAUUGUAAACUCAGGGACUCUUUCUCUUCUGCUUCAUGAAAGGAUCCUGACCCUGGAUUGGCCACACAAUUUUUCCUAGCAGUUGGGAGGAAGAUUGAAAUAAUGACAAUUAAGUCUGACUUUCCAGGGUUGCAUAGUCUGACCCAGAAAUAUAAGGCAUUAACAAAAAAGAAAUGACUUAUUAUGUAACUGAAGAAUAAUAAUGUGUCUGAAAGACAGAGCCAUUUGUCUCUGGAUACCAGGAUGCUAAUUUCCUGGCAAUUGGCCAAUUAUCUACUGGAAUUUUGAAACAUAUCUUGUGGCCUCUGGAGCCUAUAAAGUCAUUGUAACAUUGUGCUUACUGUUCCCAGCACAUAACCAACCUUAAACUUGCCCAGAACUGUCUAGGAUUAGACGUGAACAAUGGAUUCAACCAACCUGUAAACUCAAAAACCAAGAGCAGAAUGUUUUUAAACCAGUACUUCUUUGGUUUUGAAUGAUCCAGAGUAGUUAUUUGCACCAUAUUCUUAAGAACCCCUGCUUCUUAAUAAGAUCUAUGGGAUCUUGACAGCAUGUCUUGAGUAUCACUUUCAUUCUAAUUGCCUAAUGUGUAAGUUACACAUAAUAGAAU